RNAcentral lists this RNase P RNA (377 nucleotides) under Acidobacteriota bacterium. Its description in RNAcentral is "RNase P RNA component class A". It matches the Rfam family "Bacterial RNase P class A". Rfam says of the family: Ribonuclease P (RNase P) is a ubiquitous endoribonuclease, found in archaea, bacteria and eukarya as well as chloroplasts and mitochondria. Its best characterised activity is the generation of mature 5'-ends of tRNAs by cleaving the 5'-leader elements of precursor-tRNAs. The record is from RNAcentral. Lineage: Bacteria; Pseudomonadati; Acidobacteriota.
GAAGCGAAUCGGAGGAUCGCGGCAGGCGACUGUCGAGGAAAGUCCGAACUCCUACGGGCAGCAGGCUGGCUAACGGCCAGGCGCGGCGACGCGACGGAAAGUGCAACAGAAAACAAACCGCCGACCGCCGUGCAUCGCGAGGUGCGCGGCGAGGUAAGGGUGAAACGGUGCGGUAAGAGCGCACCGCGUCGCACGUGAGUGUCGACGGCACGGCAAACCCCCUGCGGAGCAAGACCAAAUAGGGACGCAAUGGACUCGCCCGUGUCCUUCUGAGCGUCCGGGUAGGUUGCUCGACCGCCGCGGUAACGCGAGCGGCAGAUGAAUGAUCCUCGCCCCGCAAGGGGAGACAGAAUUCGGCUUACAGGUUCGCUUCACGC